Molecule: long non-coding RNA, 660 nt
Organism: Pundamilia nyererei
Lineage: Eukaryota; Metazoa; Chordata; Actinopteri; Cichliformes; Cichlidae
Exons: 3
Source: RefSeq, a predicted model, not a curated record
CAAAGUGGCUAGAGGACAGCAGCCCUGAAUCCCUCCAACACCCUCCCGAAAAAACAUAUUGGGCCACAUUUGGUGCUCUGCUGGCGAGAAGCUCCAGCCCUCAGCCCUCCACCUCUGGCUUCCAAUAUAGACGACCGAAGGAUGCCAAUCAAGAGGUAAACACUGCCCAGCCAGUGAGGAGGUCAAGCCCCCAGCCCUCCACCUCUGGUUUACACUUGAACCGUGACUGGAGAGCAAGGAGAUCCAGCCCUCAGCCCUCCACCUCUGCCUUCAAGCGUGGGAGAGAGGAGGCUGACCAGGAAGAGCAGGAACGCCAAAGAUUCCGGAGCGGGUACUACAGAGUCCAGACUGACACCGAUGGGUCCCGCCCCACCGUGUGCUUCCCUUAUUGUUUUCUACCAAAAAUUGUUAAUGUUAAUAUUGUAUGUACUGGGUAUGGUGUCGGGGUGGUGGAACAGGUCUUCAUUUACACCACAGAUGGAGUAUUUCUCACUCACUCAAGGGCAGUCUCCAUUAGAGAGUCUUUAUGUGGCAAAUCCAUCAGCCACACAUUUCUUUACACAUUUCUUUUUCUUCCUACCUACACAGUCACUGCUAAGUUUAAGAUAUAGAGUAGUAAUGAUAAGUUAUUCGAAAUGUACUAAUAGUACGCUCAGAAUA